AAUGUAAAAGCAAUACAGUCUGGAGAUAUUCUGGUAGAAGGGAAAUAAAAGAUACAUUCUCGGCGAAAGUUCAUGACUCUGAUGCCCAAAGCGCUGCUUAUAUGGAAAAGGAAUAUCCAUAUUUAUUUUCUUCGCAAAGAAGGAACCAGUAUCUGCAGGUCAAGUUUCUUGCGCCUUCAAGAAUCUUCUCGUUGAAAACUGCUGGUAACAAUGAUUUAAAUGACUGGGGUGGAAUAAGUCAGUUUUCUUUGUUUUAUCAAAAUGGUGCUGGCAAGUGGAGAUACUAUACAGAUAUGAAAGGCAACAAAAGGAUCUUCGAUACCGGAAGUAGAAACAGAGAAUCCGUGUUAGUUCCUGAAAGGUUUCUACUACCCAGACCGCUCGAUGCUCGAAUAAUACGCAUAUAUCCCCACAAAUGGACUGGUAAACCAUACCUAUUACUAGAUAUAAAAGCCUGCUACACAGAUGACCCUCUUCCAGGUUUUGAAAACUGCUCAAAGAGUAUUCUGUCAAAAGAUGGUUCCCUCCUCUCUGUCAUGUUUGAUGAUUUACCUGAGAGUGGACUGCUGAACAAUGCUGAGAAGUAUCACACUAUUGAAUUGGAGGAUGUCGAUGGGCCAGCUCUUGUUACGGGGAUCAAAGUUCGCCAGGCAAAUGACAAGGUCAAAGUAGACAAUAUUAUCAAGUCAUUUGUUUUACAGUUUAUGGAUAAUGAAUUAAAAUGGAAGAAUAUUGUGGAUGAUGAUGGGUUCGUCAAGAUUUUUAGUAUGCCUGCAAACAGUCAUCUUGAUGUGCCUUUAAGUUUUCGAUUUCCCAAUCCGGUAGAAACAGAAUAUAUGCGACUGUACCCUGAAUCAUGGACCGGAAACAACCCACGAUUAUUCAUCGACAUUUUAGGCUGUUUAAACAAAGAAUAAACAUUUUUUAGUUGUAUUGCUUUGACUAGAAGAGAAAUGUGAUUAAAUAAAUAUCCAUAUCUA
Patella vulgata (common limpet) is the source of this 980-nucleotide RNA transcript. RefSeq lists it as uncharacterized. The transcript is spliced from 5 exons. NCBI's taxonomy places the organism in Eukaryota, Metazoa, Mollusca, Gastropoda, Patellidae. The record is from RefSeq and is a predicted model, not a curated record.